ACCGGGGACGCCGCCGGGCUCGCGGCUGACAGCCAGUUAACAGGUAGCCAACGGCGGCAGCCRGGAUUGCUCAUGUAAAGCUCCCUUAGCGGAAAAAAAACAACGUUUCUGAACAGCGGAGGGUCCUCGAUUGCAGAUGAGCAAAUCUGGGAAUAAACAGGCAAAAAACCCUUGGGGGGGUCGGCAGGUUUGUGGGCGAGCACCCAAGCGGCGGGAGCAACGCAGCCUGCGAGGCGCGAGCGCGGCGGCUGUACGGCCGCGCGGGACACUGGUCGCACCCAGAGAGUCUCAUUUCGGGGGGGGGCUGUGCAAGGUCAGCUCCGCACGUGCGUGAGCCUCCCCGCACGGCGUGAAGAGCGAGAGGGUUUUACACGUGACCGCGGGCGCUCGCGCUGGGCAGGGUGUUGGUGCGGUUGCCCUGGUAGAAAGCUGCAGGGACAGCGUGUCCCCAAGGCUCUGUCUCCCCGACGUGUUCUGUCCCCAGCGCAGCAUCUGCUUGGAGUCAGGUCUCCCCUCCAUCACCGUAGCGGCCGUCGCAGUGAGGCUGUUCGUGGCUGCAGGCGCYGGUGACGUUUGACGACGUCUCCGUCUGCUUUUCGGAGUCAGAGCAGGGGAAGUUGGACGAGUGGCAGAAGGACCUUUAGAAGACCGUGAUGACGGGGAACUACGACUUGCCGAUCUCUCUGGGAGCAGAACCUGCUGUUCUUACCCCUGAAGUUGUCUCUUGGGCAGAAAAGGAUGACGAUCCCUGUGCCGGUGUUCGGGGAGACUCAGAAGAGCAAGACGUCCCCGCGAAUGGCGCCACCGCGGGCGAGUGGGGUCUGGGAUGGCUCGGCGGGUGCUGGGAGGAUCAGUCAGUGCGGGGACACCUCCGUCCCUUCCCCGACACAUUGCCCAUACCCGGGCAGCAGAUCCCCCCUCGGCCCCCUGUGCCGGUGGGUGGUGAACCGGGAGACGACUCUUUCUCUCCUUUUCCAGAACGACCUUGUAUCAAGCCUUUGUUUAACACA
Molecule: long non-coding RNA, 1010 nt
Filed under: Apteryx rowi (Okarito brown kiwi)
Lineage: Eukaryota; Metazoa; Chordata; Aves; Apterygiformes; Apterygidae
Description: lncRNA (ENSARWG00000012209.1)
Source: RNAcentral